ACUUAAAUUGAAGAGUUUGAUCAUGGCUCAGAUUGAACGCUGGCGGCAGGCCUAACACAUGCAAGUCGAGCGGUAGCACAGAGAGCUUGCUCUCGGGUGACGAGCGGCGGACGGGUGAGUAAUGUCUGGGAAACUGCCUGAUGGAGGGGGAUAACUACUGGAAACGGUAGCUAAUACCGCAUAAUGUCGCAAGACCAAAGUGGGGGACCUUCGGGCCUCAUGCCAUCAGAUGUGCCCAGAUGGGAUUAGCUUGUAGGUGGGGUAACGGCUCACCUAGGCGACGAUCCCUAGCUGGUCUGAGAGGAUGACCAGCCACACUGGAACUGAGACACGGUCCAGACUCCUACGGGAGGCAGCAGUGGGGAAUAUUGCACAAUGGGCGCAAGCCUGAUGCAGCCAUGCCGCGUGUGUGAAGAAGGCCUUCGGGUUGUAAAGCACUUUCAGCGGGGAGGAAGGCGGUGAGGUUAAUAACCUCAUCGAUUGACGUUACCCGCAGAAGAAGCACCGGCUAACUCCGUGCCAGCAGCCGCGGUAAUACGGAGGGUGCAAGCGUUAAUCGGAAUUACUGGGCGUAAAGCGCACGCAGGCGGUCUGUCAAGUCGGAUGUGAAAUCCCCGGGCUCAACCUGGGAACUGCAUUCGAAACUGGCAGGCUAGAGUCUUGUAGAGGGGGGUAGAAUUCCAGGUGUA
This 689-nucleotide ribosomal RNA is filed under the name Klebsiella pneumoniae. RNAcentral's name for it is "bacterial SSU rRNA". It matches the Rfam family "Bacterial small subunit ribosomal RNA", at positions 1 to 677 of the family's 1533-position model. Lineage: Bacteria; Pseudomonadati; Pseudomonadota; Gammaproteobacteria; Enterobacterales; Enterobacteriaceae. The record is from RNAcentral.